GACGAACGCUGGCGGCGUGCUUAACACAUGCAAGUCGAACGGAAAGGCCCUGCUUUUGUGGGGUGCUCGAGUGGCGAACGGGUGAGUAACACGUGAGUAACCUGCCCUUGACUUUGGGAUAACUUCAGGAAACUGGGGCUAAUACCGGAUAGGAGCUCCUGCUGCAUGGUGUGGGUUGGAAAGUUUCGGCGGUGGGGGAUGGACUCGCGGCUUAUCAGCUUGUUGGUGGGGUAGUGGCUUACCAAGGCUUUGACGGGUAGCCGGCCUGAGAGGGUGACCGGCCACAUUGGGACUGAGAUACGGCCCAGACUCCUACGGGAGGCAGCAGUGGGGAAUAUUGCACAAUGGGCGGAAGCCUGAUGCAGCAACGCCGCGUGCGGGAUGACGGCCUUCGGGUUGUAAACCGCUUUCGCCUGUGACGAAGCGUGAGUGACGGUAAUGGGUAAAGAAGCACCGGCUAACUACGUG
Molecule: ribosomal RNA, 468 nt
Filed under: uncultured bacterium
Lineage: Bacteria
Description: partial 16S ribosomal RNA
Rfam family: Bacterial small subunit ribosomal RNA
Source: RNAcentral